Molecule: ribosomal RNA, 257 nt
Filed under: Escherichia coli
Lineage: Bacteria; Pseudomonadati; Pseudomonadota; Gammaproteobacteria; Enterobacterales; Enterobacteriaceae
Description: partial 16S ribosomal RNA
Rfam family: Bacterial small subunit ribosomal RNA
Source: RNAcentral
AUAAAGUGCGUCGUAGUCCGGAUUGGAGUCUGCAACUCGACUCCAUGAAGUCGGAAUCGCUAGUAAUCGUGGAUCAGAAUGCCACGGUGAAUACGUUCCCGGGCCUUGUACACACCGCCCGUCACACCAUGGGAGUGGGUUGCAAAAGAAGUAGGUAGCUUAACCUUCGGGAGGGCGCUUACCACUUUGUGAUUCAUGACUGGGGUGAAGUCGUAACAAGGUAACCGUAGGGGAACCUGCGGUUGGAUCACCUCCUU